RNAcentral lists this ribosomal RNA (446 nucleotides) under uncultured bacterium. Its description in RNAcentral is "partial 16S ribosomal RNA". It matches the Rfam family "Bacterial small subunit ribosomal RNA", at positions 338 to 795 of the family's 1533-position model. The record is from RNAcentral.
CCUACGGGAGGCAGCAGUCGAGAAUCAUUCACAAUGGGGGAAACCCUGAUGGUGCGACGCCGCGUGGGGGAAUGAAGGCCUUCGGAUUGUAAACCCCUGUCAUGAGGGAGUAAAGUAAAAAGAUAGUACCACAAGAGGAAGAGAUGGCUAAUACUGUGCCAGCAGCCGCGGUAAUACAGAGUUCGCAAGAGUUGUUCGGAGUCAUGGGGCGUAAAGGGUGGGUAGGCUGUUUCGUAAGUCGUGUGUGAAAGGGGGGGGCUCAACGCUCGGAGUGCACAUGAUACUGUGAGACUUGAGUACGGGAGAGGUAGGCGGAAGUCGCGGUGUAGCGGUGAAAUGCUUAGAUAUCGCGAAGAACACUCAUGGCGAAGGCAGGUUCCUGGCCUUUAACUGACGCUGAUGCACGAAAGCGUGGGUAGCGAAAAGGAUUAGAUACCCCUGUAGUC